CCUGGCUCAGACGAACGCUGGCGGCGUGCUUAACACAUGCAAGUCGAACGCUGAAGCUUGGUGCUUGCACUGGGUGGAUGAGUGGCGAACGGGUGAGUAAUACGUGAGUAACCUGCCCUUGACUCUGGGAUAAGCCUGGGAAACUGGGUCUAAUACUGGAUACGACGGCGCAUCGCAUGGUGUGUUGUGGAAAGGGUUUUACUGGUUUUGGAUGGGCUCACGGCCUAUCAGCUUGUUGGUGGGGUAAUGGCUCACCAAGGCGACGACGGGUAGCCGGCCUGAGAGGGUGACCGGCCACACUGGGACUGAGACACGGCCCAGACUCCUACGGGAGGCAGCAGUGGGGAAUAUUGCACAAUGGGCGGAAGCCUGAUGCAGCGACGCCGCGUGAGGGAUGACGGCCUUCGGGUUGUAAACCUCUUUCAGCACGGAAGAAGCGAGAGUGACGGUACGUGCAGAAGAAGCGCCGGCUAACUACGUGCCAGCAGCCGCGGUAAUACGUAGGGCGCAAGCGUUGUCCGGAAUUAUUGGGCGUAAAGAGCUCGUAGGCGGUUUGUCGCGUCUGCUGUGAAAGCCCGGGGCUUAACUCCGGGUGUGCAGUGGGUACGGGCAGACUUGAGUGCAGUAGGGG
This 631-nucleotide ribosomal RNA is filed under the name Kocuria sp. MN 59. RNAcentral's name for it is "bacterial SSU rRNA". It matches the Rfam family "Bacterial small subunit ribosomal RNA", at positions 18 to 657 of the family's 1533-position model. Lineage: Bacteria; Bacillati; Actinomycetota; Actinomycetes; Micrococcales; Micrococcaceae. The record is from RNAcentral.